UACGUAGGGUGCGAGCGUUGUCCGGAAUUAUUGGGCGUAAAGAGCUCGUAGGCGGUCUGUCGCGUCUGCUGUGAAAACCCGAGGCUCAACCUCGGGCCUGCAGUGGGUACGGGCAGACUAGAGUGUGGUAGGGGAGACUGGAAUUCCUGGUGUAGCGGUGAAAUGCGCAGAUAUCAGGAGGAACACCGAUGGCGAAGGCAGGUCUCUGGGCCACUACUGACGCUGAGAAGCGAAAGCAUGGGGAGCGAACAGG
This 253-nucleotide ribosomal RNA is filed under the name uncultured bacterium. RNAcentral's name for it is "partial 16S ribosomal RNA". It matches the Rfam family "Bacterial small subunit ribosomal RNA", at positions 524 to 776 of the family's 1533-position model. The record is from RNAcentral.